UGAGAAAUUAUUUCACUAACUGCGCACAUGGCGCACGUAGGUAAGACACAGCGCUUGAAGACCGCUUGUCAUCUCAGCGCUACUUACGUUUCCUACAAGAAGAGCUGCCGUUGAUGUUGGAAGAAGUUCCUGUGCUAACCAGUUUCCAGACCGUUGGAUUGGCCGAGGUGGUCCAUUUGCUUGGCCAGCGAUAUCACCAGAUCUUUUGCCUUUGGACUACUUUCUCUGGGUCACAUAAAAUACCUGGUAUAUGUCAUCAAGUCAAACAAUAGGGCUGAGCUGCAGAAUUGAAUAAUGGACUCCGGUGAUAACGUCAAAAAUGAUCAUGAUUCUUUAAAUGCACGAAGGGCUCAACUGCCAUUUCGAGUCACGUAAAUAACGACUCCUUGGAUGAGGGAUCGGCUCGUCACAAGGCCUCUACCUGUACACUGGACAACACAACACAGAAAAACAUCCAUGGCUUGAGUGGGAUUUGAACUCACAGUCCCUGCAACAAAGCAGCACAAGAACCACGCCUUAGACCGCGCGGCCACUGCGGACCCCUACUAGUUGAUUAUAUACUCUAUUUUCAGAUACAAGCAAAUAUCAACUUAAAAUAAAAUAUGGCCAACAGCCAGCAAAAUUAUCUAAUUACUUAUCAGUUGUGCAGAGUCCUUGUCUUCAAAAUCACUACAAUAUGUUGUGGACCUUAUCUUCCAGUAAAAUUUUCCUCCAUUCUUCACGGUCCUUAGUCACUGUAUGUCAGCUCUUCAACCUCAGAUGGCUGUCUUGUGUGUUAUAUUGCCAUUCCUUCUAUCUUUCAUUUUAGUUAUCAUUAUGUUUUUAGGCAUUCUUUCAUUAUUCAACCAGUCAAGAUGACCACAUCAUCUCAAUCUGAAAGAUUUUAUAUAUGUUUUGAUAUCUGCCCCUUCUAAUAUACCCGCCAUUUCCAUAUUAGUUCUUAUUCUCCAAUUUUCUCCUUCAUUUAUGGGUUUAUAGACUUUUUUAAUAAUCUUUAUUUUAUAUAUUCGAAGGAUCUAAAUUUCUUGUGAAGUAAUUGUCCAAGUUUCCAACCCAUAACUUAGAAUAGGUCUUAUUAGAGUUUUGUAUAUUUUUAAUAUAGUGUUUUGGGGAAAACGUUUAGUGCGUACAUAAUAUGCAUGGUUUGCUGUCAUAAUUUUAAAAUGAAUGUCUUUCCACAUUUUAUUUUGAUUGUGUAUAACUAAUUCCAAAUAUUAGUUUUCUCUUCAUUAAUUUAUAGUCCCAUUUUUCUUCUCUCAGUUUCCAAUGCAGGUAAUAAUUAUUUUAAUUCUAGAAUAUUUCUUGCAACCAUGACAAAAUCAUCAGCAUAAGCACAAAUUUGUUUGUAUUUGUGAACAAUAUUUUCUUUUUCUGCAGUUACUUUUAAGACAAUAUUUAGUGCCACAUUAAAUAGUGCUGCUGAUAGUGCAUCUCCCUGUCUUACUACUGUUAAUAUAUU
Zootermopsis nevadensis is the source of this 1459-nucleotide long non-coding RNA. RefSeq lists it as uncharacterized. The record is from RefSeq and is a predicted model, not a curated record. NCBI's taxonomy places the organism in Eukaryota, Metazoa, Arthropoda, Insecta, Blattodea, Termopsidae.